UACGAAGGGGGGCUAGCGUUGCUCGGAAUCACUGGGCGUAAAGGGUGCGUAGGCGGGUUUUUAAGUCAGGGGGUGAAAUCCCAGAGCUCAACUCUGGAACUGCCUUUGAUACUGGGUAUCUUGAGUAUGGAAGAGGUAAGUGGAAUUGCGAGUGUAGAGGUGAAAUUCGUAGAUAUUCGCAGGAACACCAGUGGCGAAGGCGGCUUACUGGUCCAUAACUGACGCUGAGGUGCGAAAGCGUGGGGGAGCAAACAGG
RNAcentral lists this ribosomal RNA (256 nucleotides) under uncultured bacterium. RNAcentral's name for it is "partial 16S ribosomal RNA". It matches the Rfam family "Bacterial small subunit ribosomal RNA", at positions 524 to 776 of the family's 1533-position model. The record is from RNAcentral.